UGAGCAAUCUGCCCUUCUCAUCGGAAUAAGCGUUGGAAACGACGUCUAAUGCCGAAUACGACCUCCUUUCGCAUGAUCGGAGGUGGAAAGCUCCGGCGGAGAAGGAUGAGCUCGCGGCCUAUCAGCUAGUUGGUGAGGUAACGGCUCACCAAGGCGACGACGGGUAGCCGGCCUGGAGGGGGUGACCCGGCCACACGUGGGACUGAGACACGGCCCAGACUCCGUACGGGAGNAG
RNAcentral lists this ribosomal RNA (235 nucleotides) under uncultured bacterium. Its description in RNAcentral is "partial 16S ribosomal RNA". It matches the Rfam family "Bacterial small subunit ribosomal RNA", at positions 118 to 347 of the family's 1533-position model. The record is from RNAcentral.